RNAcentral lists this ribosomal RNA (484 nucleotides) under uncultured bacterium. Its description in RNAcentral is "partial 16S ribosomal RNA". It matches the Rfam family "Bacterial small subunit ribosomal RNA", at positions 30 to 507 of the family's 1533-position model. The record is from RNAcentral.
AUUGAACGCUGGCGGCAGGCCUAACACAUGCAAGUCGAGCGGAUGAAGGGAGCUUGCUCCUGGAUUCAGCGGCGGACGGGUGAGUAAUGCCUAGGAAUCUGCCCGGUAGUGGGGGAUAACGUCCGGAAACGGGCGCUAAUACCGCAUACGUCCUGAGGGAGAAAGUGGGGGAUCUUCGGACCUCACGCUAUCAGAUGAGCCUAGGUCGGAUUAGCUAGUUGGUGGGGUAAAGGCCUACCAAGGCGACGAUCCGUAACUGAUCUGAGAGGGUGAUCAGUCACACUGGAACUGAGACACGGUCCAGACUCCUACGGGAGGCAGCAGUGGGGAAUAUUGGACAAUGGGCGAAAGCCUGAUCCAGCCAUGCCGCGUGUGUGAAGAAGGUCUUCGGAUUGUAAAACACUGUUAGUUGGGAAGAAGGGCAGUAAGUUAAUACCUGGCUGUUUUGACGGUACCAACAGAGUAAGCACCGGCUAACUUCGUG